AGAGUUGAUCAUGGCUCAGAACGAACGCCGGUGGCGUGUCUUAUACAUGCAAGUCGAGCGAGGCAGCAAUGCCGAGCGGCGAACGGGUGAGUAACGCGUAAGCAAUCUGCCCCAUAUCAGGAAAUACCCGUGCCAACGCGCGGUUAAUGUCCAGGAGAGUGGCCCUCUGCAUGGAGGGUUGACUAGGGAUUUAUCGGUAUGGGAUGAGCUUGCGUCCGAUUAGCUAGUUGGCGGGGCAACGGCCACCAAGGCGACGAUCGGUAGCCGGCCUGAGAGGGUGAUCGGCCACAUUGGGACUGAGAUACGGCCCAGACUCCUACGGGAGGCAGCAGUAGGGAAUAUUGCACAAUGGGGGAAACCCUGAUGCAGCAACGCCACGUGUGGGAAGAAGCAUUUCGGUGUGUAAACCACUGUCAUGGGGGAAUAAGGCCCUUAUUCGUAAGGGAUUGAAUGUACCUUGAGAGGAAGCACCGGCAAACUUCGUGCCAGCAGCCGC
This 496-nucleotide ribosomal RNA is filed under the name uncultured bacterium. RNAcentral's name for it is "bacterial SSU rRNA". It matches the Rfam family "Bacterial small subunit ribosomal RNA", at positions 8 to 518 of the family's 1533-position model. The record is from RNAcentral.